Molecule: long non-coding RNA, 816 nt
Organism: Canis lupus familiaris (dog)
Lineage: Eukaryota; Metazoa; Chordata; Mammalia; Carnivora; Canidae
Exons: 5
Source: RefSeq, a predicted model, not a curated record
CUAAACGCCGCCGGAAAACGCUUCGAGCCCGACUCCCGGGUCACCUGGCCCCAGCGCCCGGCCCUGCCUUCAAGGGAGCCCCGGGGCCGCCUCUGGUCACCGGGGACCGCGCACCGGGCUCUGGGGCAGUCACGUGGUCGGCGGAGGCGGCCUGGGCUUCCUCACCUGCAUCCCGGGAACUUGGACAGCCACCGGACGGGAGUUCAUGAAGAAUUAGAUAAGAAGGAAGCAACUCUCCUAGACCCAGAGGAGACACUGGAAGAACAUUGGCCCUUAGGUGCAACCAUUACCCCCUUAGGCCUGGAUCCCUGAGGUUUGUUCCCUGAUAUCCCAAGAUAAUUUGGUACCAAGAGAAAACACUGGAGAUAGAGUGCUGAGUGAAGAAAAAGUAGAAGGGCAGAGACUAGCCUCUCUGAGCACGUGGUGUUCGCUUACUCUGGGAUGCUGGACCUUUUUGGUAGCAGAAUCUGAGCGGACAGGACAAUUCCUGGUGGCUUAUAGCACCGCCCAGUGUGCUUGCUGGAGAUCUCAGAUGCACCCAAAUUGGAGCUGGGAGAGUCUGGAGACAUAUGGAACCACCUAGCCAAGCCAAGAACAGUUAGUACUUCUGCUACAAGGUCAGGCUUUGCACAAACUGAUGGGAACCAAAAACAAGUGAAGAAGAAUGAAGAUGAACCCACAUUUCAAAAGUCCUUUUCUGCUGGAGGUGGCAUUACCUGUGACCUCGCCUCACUUCAUACAUGGCUGUUGGAGCAGAUUCUAUGUAUCCAUUCAUGAGAGACACAGAGAGAGAAAGGCGGAGACACAGGCAGAGGG